GCCAGGCGCGGUGGUGCAUGCCUGUAGUCCCAGGUACUCGGGAGGCUGAGGCAGUAGGAUCGCUUGAGCCCAGGAGUUCUGGGCUGUAGUGCACGCAUUAUGCUGAUUGGGUGUCCGCACUAAGUUCGGCAUCAAUAUGGUGACCCCCCAGGAGCAGGAGGCCACCAGAUUGCCUAAGGAGGGGUGAACCAGCCCAGGUUGGAAAUGGAGCAGGUCAAAACUCCUGUGCUGAUCAGUAGUGGGAUUGCACCUGUGAAUAGCCACUGCACUCCAGCCUGGGCAACAUAGUGAGACCCCAACUCU
RNAcentral lists this signal recognition particle RNA (303 nucleotides) under Aotus nancymaae (Ma's night monkey). Its description in RNAcentral is "Metazoan signal recognition particle RNA (ENSANAG00000000653.1)". It matches the Rfam family "Metazoan signal recognition particle RNA". From Rfam's summary of the family: The signal recognition particle (SRP) is a universally conserved ribonucleoprotein. It is involved in the co-translational targeting of proteins to membranes. Lineage: Eukaryota; Metazoa; Chordata; Mammalia; Primates; Aotidae. The record is from RNAcentral.